GAGCUCCUGACUGCAAUCUCAAAUAUCAACCCAAGGCCACGCUCGCAGAGAUCCUGUUCUGCUGAGCAACACAGAGUCCUGCUGGGAGAGCUCAGCUGAGAGGCUGCAGGCACCUUGGUCAGCGCUCCAAGCCUCAGCGCAGCCUGGAGCUGGCUUUGCAUUUGGCCUCCUCGAUGGUAAUGGAAAAGCAAGAAGGCUCUCCUUGGCUUUAAGCCAAAAGCGGCGUUAACUCUUCAUAAAGAUCCCAAAUAUUUUGGACUCAAAGAGAUGGAGUUUCUGUUCUCAGCGAGGGUUUGACCCGGAGCAUUGAGCAACCUGGGGAAGAAGUGCUGAUGUCGGCGGGCCCUGCAUCACGCCGAUGCUAUUCUGGCUUCCUCCCCUCCAUGGCGUCCCUUCAUUGGAUGUCACAGCACGAGGACAGCCUCUUCAAAGGCAGAGGGGAGAACAGGGAAGCUACAACUGUGCUUUUCAAAGCAGUUCAGCACAAUCUUUGCCCUCCUUGAAGGAUGAACUUCUAGAAAAAAACUUGAGCUGUACUGCAGCACCCGUAGAGCACCCACUGCUGAAAUAAAGCCUCGCUGUGACCCCUCACAGUGCUCCUUGAGAAACAAAGGCCUAAAUCUAAU
This is a long non-coding RNA of Gallus gallus (chicken), 626 nucleotides long. RefSeq lists it as uncharacterized. NCBI's taxonomy places the organism in Eukaryota, Metazoa, Chordata, Aves, Galliformes, Phasianidae. The record is from RefSeq and is a predicted model, not a curated record. The transcript has 2 exons.